Non-coding RNA from Odocoileus virginianus texanus, 483 nucleotides. The record is from RefSeq and is a predicted model, not a curated record. Lineage: Eukaryota; Metazoa; Chordata; Mammalia; Artiodactyla; Cervidae.
AUGGUGAUGGUUUUCUGCCAAAGUUUUACACGGGAAGCUGGUCAUUUUCUUCCUUCGCAGUGGAGGAUACAAAGAGUCUGGGGCUGGCGUCACCUUCUGUUGCUAAGGCAAUACAAGUGACUAUUUUGCCUUAAAACUCUUGUUUCGGGAACAUCAAGCAUGGAUUAUCCCAAAAUGGAUUAUUUUCUGGAUGUGGAGUCUGCACCCAGACUCUUGGAUGUUGAGUCGGCUCAGAGAUUCUUCUACAGCCAAGGAGCUCAAGACCUUUACUACCUCGGCAAGUCCUAAUACUUUGGGACUGAUUAAUCCUCAAACUGGCUACCGUUCAUACUCCUGGGAGGUGCUGUGGAUGCCCACCUAAGCCCUACACGGGAGCCAGAGACCAGAGGACCACUCACUGAAGGCCUGGCCAUGUUUCCAGAGGUCUUGUUUGGCGGGUGCCGGGUUAUCUUCCUGCUCCACGAUUGCCCCCUAAAACUUUAA